GACGAACGCUGGCGGCGUGCUUAACACAUGCAAGUCGAACGGAAAGGCCCUGCUUUUGUGGGGUGCUCGAGUGGCGAACGGGUGAGUAACACGUGAGUAACCUGCCCUUGACUUUGGGAUAACUUCAGGAAACUGGGGCUAAUACCGGAUAGGAGCUCCUGCUGCAUGGUGGGGGUUGGAAAGUUUCGGCGGUUGGGGAUGGACUCGCGGCUUAUCAGCUUGUUGGUGGGGUAGUGGCUUACCAAGGCUUUGACGGGUAGCCGGCCUGUGUGGGAGACCGGCUAGACAGGGGGGGAGUGACGGACGGGACACAUUCGGGCGGGAGGAGGCGGGGGGGUAGCAUGAGGGGCGGGAGCAUGAUGCAGGAACGCCUGGUGCGUGAAGGCGGCCUGCGUGUGGUUAGCAAAUUUCGUCUGUGGGGAAGCAUGAGGGCCGUAAAUGGGGAAAAAGGCACCGCCUAAUUAGUU
Molecule: ribosomal RNA, 467 nt
Filed under: uncultured bacterium
Lineage: Bacteria
Description: partial 16S ribosomal RNA
Rfam family: Bacterial small subunit ribosomal RNA
Source: RNAcentral